ACGAGCCCGAGAUUGUAGAAGUAGCAAUACGGACACAAUCUUAGCGGCGGAUUGGUGAGUAACACGUGAGUAACCUGCCUUAUACUGGGGAAUAACACCGUGAAAACGGUGCUAAUACCGCAUAAUGUUAUCUUAUGGCAUCAUAGGAUAACCAAAGGAGCAAUCCGGUAGAAGAUGGACUCGCGUCCGAUUAGCUAGUUGGUGAGGUAAUGGCCCACCAAGGCGACGAUCGGUAGCCGAACUGAGAGGUUGAUCGGCCACAUUGGGACUGAGACACGGCCCAGACUCCUACGGGAGGCAGCAGUGGGGAAUAUUGGGCAAUGGGCGAAAGCCUGACCCAGCAACGCCGCGUGAAGGAAGAAGGCCUUCGGGUUGUAAACUUCUUUGAUCAGGGAAGAAAAAAAUGACGGUACCUGAAAAACAAGCCACGGCUAACUACGUGCCAGCAGCCGCGGUAAUACGUAGGUGGCAAGCGUUAUCCGGAUUUACUGGGUGUAAAG
RNAcentral lists this ribosomal RNA (500 nucleotides) under uncultured bacterium. Its description in RNAcentral is "bacterial SSU rRNA". It matches the Rfam family "Bacterial small subunit ribosomal RNA", at positions 62 to 565 of the family's 1533-position model. The record is from RNAcentral.